RNAcentral lists this long non-coding RNA (5308 nucleotides) under Homo sapiens (human). Its description in RNAcentral is "non-protein coding CKMT2-AS1:26". Lineage: Eukaryota; Metazoa; Chordata; Mammalia; Primates; Hominidae. The record is from RNAcentral.
GCUGAGUUUGUGGCGCGCUUAGUGAUGGGAUGGCCCUGUGCAGGACGCCGACACGAAAAGAUGAAGAGUUCAAUCCGUGCUGUCUGAACUCACAGUGUAGCAGGCGAGAUAGACGGGAAGAUCGGUAGGGUGGGAGAUGCCGGAAAGGCUUCCCGUGAGACUGGAUAAGAAAUCAAAAAUCUGGUGAAAUUGCCGGCAAGAGGGAGUUAAGGACAUUCCAGGCAGAGGCAAGGUAAAGGCGCGGUGGGAGUGGGUCACUGUGAUAAAAGUCUGAAAAGGACAUUUGGGGGCUCUCUUGGGUGAGAGGCAGUGCCUCAUGUCCCCCCUUCAGUGCUCGUUGAGCAUUCAAUUAAAAUGUUAACACUUUGUAGCCAAACAAGUUCUCUUUUUAAGAGGAAAACCCUGGAUUUCCAAACGGCUCAUUUUCUGUAGCUUCUUGCAAAUGGAUACCACCACCAGCUGUGCCUAGUGAAAAAAUGCAAUUUACCAGGACCACUACUCUCAACAGUUUGCUCAAUCCAUUUAACCUUUUGAAUAUUUGUCCACUUCUUUUUAUCUCUGUUGGCACCUCCUCCCUUGUCCCAUAUUGUACCUGUAGUUCUACAACUGGUCUGGGGAUUCAUUCUGCCCCAACUCCCUGAAAUCCAUUUUCCGUGUCGUAGGAACGGAACUUUUGAAAAUGUAAAUCAUUACAUUUAAAGCAGUACUGCUGUACUGCUUUAAACUCUCCCUUCGCUUCCCAUUGUUUUAGGAUGAAAUUCGAACUCCUUAUGAAGUCCCUGCCUACUUCCCUAGCCUCACCUUGCUCAGUCUCUCCUUUGAGCUCCGUGCAUAGGAUCAUUUUUUCAAUUUCUCAAAUGCCGUGUGUACCUUGCCAUCUCCAGGCCUUUACAUUUGCUAGUCUCUUUGUAUGGUACUCCUUUUCUUCUUCCAGUUACUUUCUACUCACCCUUCAAGGCUUUAAGUAUUUUAUUCUCAAGAAAGCCUUCCAGCCCCCUACCCCCAUACUAGACCAAUCCCCUACUGUGUGCUCACGGCAGUCUAUACUUUCUUAUGACACGGUUCACAUUUGUAAUUACACAAUAAUUGUGUAAGUUUAUUGUAUCCUCAUUGCCUGGUACAUCCUUGGUGCUCACUGCGUAUUUGUUUUUUUGUUUUGUUUUGUUUUGUUUUUUGAGAAGGAGUUUGGCUCUUGUCGCCCAGGCUGGAGUGCAAUGGCGCGAUCUCGGCUCACUGCAACCUCUGCGUCCCGGGUUCAAGCGAUUCUUCUGCCUCAGCCGCCCAAGUAGCUGAGAUUACAGGCGCCCGCCACCGCGCCCGGCUAGAUUUUGUAUUUUUAGUAGUGAUGGGAUAUCGCCAUGUUGGCCAGGUUGGUCUCAAACUCCUGAGUUAGGCGAUCCGCCCACCUCUUCCCUCCAAAGUGCUGGGAUUACAGGCGUGAGCCACCGCGCCUGGCCCUCGUAUUUGUUAAGUAAAUGAAGAAUAAGUACUUUGCGAUGUUUGUUUAAAGCAAACUAGAAAGUGGCCCAGUUUUCUUUAAGAGAAGGGAUUUUAAAGUCAGUGCUUGUAGGAAUGUUGAGAUUUGGUAUGGUACAUAUCACAAAUACCGUAGUUCAUAUGGUGGAGAAAGUUUUAAAAGACAACAAACAAACAACAGCAACUUCCAGCUCUUGAAGAUAGGGAACUUCCUAAAAGAUGUGUGGUAGUGCUGCCCAUACUGUAAUGAUCUCAACCAGCUGGUUUCAGGGUAGUGACAUUUCAUGAAGAGGUUUUAUCUUUGGUAGAUGCAAGGUACUUACACAUAACAUACCACUAGAGGGCGCAUUUAACUAAAACUUUUCUUUUUAGUGGUAUAUUGCAUUUUAAACUGUAGGUCGUUCAUUCUUGGAAGCAAAGGAACAUACCGAUUUCUUUUUGUAGCGGUAUGUCCAAUAAAGAUUAGUAGUUGAGCAAAUAGGGCGUAGAAUAAGUCCUUUGGAAUUCGGAGGAAACUAUUGCUACUAAUAGCUAACUUUACUGAACAUUUUAUAGGUGCCAGCAGUAUGCUUAAUGGUUUGCAUUCGUUACCUAAUUAGUCCACUCAGUAUUCUGUGAGGUUGGUACUAUUAUUUUCUCCAUUUUGCAAUGAGGGAAUAAAUUCACAGAGCUGACGUAACUUAUCCAAGGUCAGACAGCUAAUAAGAGGUAGAGUCAGGAUUUGAACCAAGAUCUCAAUCCAAACCUGUGUGCUCUGCUACUUUGAAAUACUGCAGAGGAUUGUUUGUCUACUUGAUCCACUUUAAAACACUUUACUAAGUUAUCCUUGCCCAAAUUCGAUUUUUUUUUUUUGGAAAGUAUUUACUUUUACAGUUCAAGGGAUUAUGUUUGUAUUCAGUUUUCCCAUCUACUUAUUGAAAUACUGUAAAUGUAUUUUUUAUAACAAUAUUAUCAGGAAGGUAAAUGUUAAAUAAGGAAUUCUGGUCGUCUUCUCAAUUUUCCUGCUGCUGUUUCUUUUCCAGUCCUCAAAUUGCUGAUUUAUAGCUUGAUUCACUGGCAGAGACAGUGGAGUGUGCUUAUUCCAUAUUACCAGGAAUUGAAACCACUACCAUUAGAAUUUUAAAUCUUCAUUCUUGCCCAGAUUCUCUCUGAAUAUUAGGCGCUUGGCCACCCUAGAUGAAGUGACCAAUAGGUGAUGAGGACUAGAAGUGUCCAAGGCCCAGCCUGGGUGGACCAUCCCUCUAACUGACUCACACAUUAGAGUGAACAGCCUCCAGGCAGCCAGUUUACCUAUAGAGCAAUUUGGAACGGAGAACAGUGAAUCUGGAAAGGAAGGCUGGGAUGAGAUUUUGCCAAAUUAAAGUGUUUUUAAAUGUGAAAUUAUAGUGUUCAAACUUUAUCCAUUAGAGCUUAAGCAAUGAACAACUGUGGAUAGUGUUUUAGAUCAUACAGGAGAUCCCAUAAAAUAGAUCUGGAGAAGAGGAUUGUGUGGAAAACUGUACCUAAUGCAUUCUCCGGGCAGUUAUUGAACUUUUUUAUAGUAUGCAGAAAAAUACAGCAGAAGAGAGAGGAAAAAAAUUAAUGACCCUGCUGUUGGAAAUAAAAAUAAGAUCCAGACCAGUGACAUUCUGACAUCUUAAAAACCUGUCAGUGAUAUUUUUAGCUGCUUUAGGAUCCUUACAAUAAGGCCCAUGAGUAAUAGGAUUGUGAGGGUUUUUUUCUUUAUACAUAAUUUUACAGAUAUUCUUUAAUGGGUGUGUAUUACAUUUAGAAUCAUUAUUAAAGAGUUAUUUUUAAUCCAUGGGAGUUUUGACACAGCACAUGAGAAUUUCUAAUUAUAGACUCAUAGAAAUACAUACCUCUUAAAACCCUAUCUUCUUGUUUUACAGAUCAAUAAAUUAAGUUUCAGAGAAGUUAAGUGAUUGCCAUAGAACACAAUGCUAGUGACUGAAUUUUGUUAACUAACAUGCUUUCAUUUGCAUUGUUGGUUUUCUCAGUAACAAAAUUACAAGCAAUACUGCUUUAUUUCAGAAGUGAAAGAAAAUCUAUUGGAAGUGUGGAGCAAGAGAAACCUAUUAGUGGAAGUUACUUGAGGUUCCUAGGCAAUAAGGAAUAGGAAUAAUAUAAAGUUUGUGUUACCCUCUGAAAAAGCUUGAAUCUCUUUCAUCUUCUUUGCUUAAACGUGAUAAAGAAUAGUGUUGGAACACUAAUCACAAAAAUGAUGUAUCCUUCUGACUCAUCUUACCAUCUUGUUGUAUUUCUCAAAUUUGAGUUCCUAAUCAUGUGUUUCGGUGGUUAGGAUGUUAAGUGCUUCAAAUGAAUACUUAAACCUAAAUUACAAACAAGUGGCAAGAUUUGCAAGCUCUCCUUUAUUCUCUGAAAUGCGUACUUCCUCCUCCUUAUGUCUGAGGAAAUCAUACCAGAUACGGGCCUUAGACUGUCCAUUCCAAGGAACAAUGAGAGGUCUUGCAGUUACAAAUGGAAUUCUGUAAAAUAGGAUAGGUGAGGAAAAAGCACUUUUUGAUGUCUACUAUUUGCCAGUACCUUAAGUGCUAAAUAUAUACAAAUGACAGAGAGGUCCCUGCCCUUAAGCAGCCAAGAGCCUGUGAGAGUAAGACAGAUUGCUAAACCACUAAUAAGCUGAUGUUAUAAUUAGUGAGGGAAUUAUGGUGAUAUAGAGAUUACAGAUAAAAUAUUUCUUCCUGGGAAGUUUUAAGAAAAACUUCACAGUAGAAUGUGUUGCAGACAACUGGAGAGAGGGAUCAGGGAGGUGAGGAGGAGGAGUCAGUAAAAAAUAAAUACAUGUACUCGAUCUAAAAUCCUCUCCAAUAAGCUGAAAUGCUUUUGCAGAUAAGACUGACACACGCUGACAUAUACACAAAAAAGAGAUAAAAAUUUAUGCUAGUACUUCAUAAAAGGUCAAAGUGAACAUAACCAAGUGGCAAAAAUAUUUCGUACUGAUUUAGUAACUACUAUAUAAAAUAAUCUACCAGUAAGUCUGGGUAAAAACAGUACAGUAAUUAAUGAUUUCAGAUGAACUAAUUUAAGAGGACCACAUACGAGGAAAAACAUAACCUGCCCAAAACUAUGGCAUAGCAAAUAAAUGAUCAUAGGAAAAGAGGUCCCACAAAUAUUUAAGAAACAUUUAUGGACCAAGAAGAUGUAGAAAGUCACAUUUACAUAUAUUCCGGAAGAUGUGAGAGUCUAAUGGUGAGCUCUAUGAAGAUGAAUUGGACACAGUUCAUACCCCCAGAGGAAUCUGGUAAAGAAGACAAACAGGGCCAGGCGCGGUGGCUCACUUCUUUAAUCCCAGCACUUUGGGAGGACGAGGCAGGCGGAUCACCUGAGGUCAGGAGUUCGAGACCAGCCUGGACAACAUGAUGAAACCUCGUCUCUAGUAAAAAUACAAAAAAAAAAAAAAAAAAAAAAGCCAAGCGUGGAGGCAGGCACCUGUAAUCCCAGCUACUCAGGAGGCUGAGGCAGGAGAAUCGCUUGAAUCUCGGAGGCAGAGGUUGCAGUGAGCUGAGAUCGCUCCAUUGCACUCUAGCCUGGGUGACAAGAAUGAAACUUUGUCUCAAAAAAAAAAAAACAGAUUUUAAAUUCCUCAAGGAGCAAAUGAAGGAAGGCACUUGUGUAGUUUUGCCCAGGGAAGCUUUAUAUGGAAGUCACCAGCAAGUUUUCAGAGAGGAAGAUUAGCUACACUGAGUGUAUGUGGCUUUUAGAUCUCUAAACAGUAUGUCUUGGAGAAGUACAGCAAACCAGAUAGAGAUAUAUAUAUAUAAUAGAUACAUAUAAUUAUAUAUCUAUUAUAUAUAACCAAUAUUAUAUAUAA